Molecule: ribosomal RNA, 205 nt
Filed under: uncultured bacterium
Lineage: Bacteria
Description: partial 16S ribosomal RNA
Rfam family: Bacterial small subunit ribosomal RNA
Source: RNAcentral
CACGUAGGCGGAUUGUUAAGUCAGGGGUGAAAUCCUGGAGCUCAACUCCAGAACUGCCUUUGAUACUGGCGAUCUUGAGUCCGGGAGAGGUGAGUGGAACUGCGAGUGUAGAGGUGAAAUUCGUAGAUAUUCGCAAGAACACCAGUGGCGAAGGCGGCUCACUGGCCCGGUACUGACGCUGAGGUGCGAAAGCGUGGGAGCAACA